GCUGGGCGUGGUGGCGUGUGCCGGUAAUCCCAGCUACUUAGGAGGCUGAGGCGGGAGACUUGCUUGAACCCGGGAGAUUGAGGUUGCAGUGAGCUAAGACAUGCCACUGCACUCCAGCCUGGGUGACAGAGCAAGACUCCAUCUCAA
Unclassified non-coding RNA from Papio anubis (olive baboon), 147 nucleotides. It matches the Rfam family "Metazoan signal recognition particle RNA". Rfam says of the family: The signal recognition particle (SRP) is a universally conserved ribonucleoprotein. It is involved in the co-translational targeting of proteins to membranes. The record is from Ensembl. Lineage: Eukaryota; Metazoa; Chordata; Mammalia; Primates; Cercopithecidae.